RNAcentral lists this long non-coding RNA (1897 nucleotides) under Sus scrofa (pig). Its description in RNAcentral is "lncRNA (ENSSSCG00060073362.1)". The record is from RNAcentral. Lineage: Eukaryota; Metazoa; Chordata; Mammalia; Artiodactyla; Suidae.
GGGGGCUGUAGCACUGGCCACAGUGCUCUUCAGUACACCCUAGCUGAAUGCUCCAUAAAGUCGCACUGAUGGCAGUUUGGAGAUGGCCAUCUGUCGUCAACUCUGGGCCAGACAAAAAAAUAAUGUAACGGCAGAUCGCUAACAACAGGGCUGUUGUAGGAGGGAAUGAGUCCUCGAACGGGAAGGUGGUGCUCCAUCUUUUAAUAGCGAAAACCAGCCAUCGAUAUGAACAUCAAGAAAUUAAUGGAUGGAGAAUUUUAAAAAACUGAGCUGGGGUGCCGUAGAAUCCACUCAAAGAAAUAGGACCAUAAAACUGGAGCAACAAUUAAGCUGUGGUGUGAAAAACAGGCGUUGGAAUCAGGUUGCUUUGGUGGGAAAGUGAUUUGAGAAGAUCAAACAGCUGUAGAGACAAUUACAUAUUUAAACUUUAAUGAUAUCUCGAAGUCGUGGUGUAUCCCUCGGAAUGUCCAAUCACUGCUGUGUUUUGUAUGCGGAAAAUACUGCAUCCAUGAAUUAAUGAAAGGAAGGGCAAGGACCACAAUAAUCUUUGACUCAAAAGGAAGUGAAAUACCAGAAUCUCAAAGCCUCCCUCUCAUCUAGGCCAAUUCCCUCCCUUCCCACCGCUGGAAUUCCCUCUACGUCCAUUAAAUUCACAACACGAUGCCUCAGAGAACUUUCUAUGGGGACACAUUGGAAGAGGAUGAUUUGAUCACUGCCAUUGAAUUGUAGUUUUUCUAGAGGCACUAAUUAAACAGUAAUUACUGUAUUGAAAGAAAGUGGCCUAUUCAACGGAAUUUUUACGCCACUCGCUCACACCUGUAUAAACCACUUUGGAUACAAAUAUGCAUUGUAGGAUAUUAUUCUUGGACCAUACUAUCCUUUUUUGCAAAGCAGCUUCCUUAAGUUCCACAGGAAGAAAAAAAAAAAAGUUUUGAGGUCUACUAGGAAAACAUGUGAAACAUUCAACAUAUUCAUUUGCUUUUAAAAUAACAAAAUGUUCAUUUAGUUCCAAUAAGGCACUCCUAUGCCAAAGCACCUCUUCCCUACCAGCAUGCUAGGUGGCCUCUGACGUAUAUUAGAAUUCCUGGCAAGAACCCUACCAGGAUUUUUACAUUAUACAUUGCUGGUCUGGCAUCGAGAACUUCUGGUCAGAAAGGUUUAGGGGUCAUAUGAAAACCUUAGCUUCCACAGUGUUAAGUCCUAGACUGAGUGUUCCACAGAACCAAGUUCCAUCUUGCUUAAUUCUAAAAGGAAUUGUGGUGGGACUUCCCACGUAAGAAUCCAAAUGCCGCUGCUUAAGAUGCUGGGGAGACAAGGGUUGGAUCCCCGGCUGGCACAGUGGGUUGAAGUAGCUGGCACUGCUGCAGCUGUGGUGGUGUAGGUCACAGCUGUGGCUUGCAUUCAAUCCCUGACCCAGGAACUCAUGGUGUGGGUGCUGAAGGUGUGGCUGAAAAAUUUUUUAAAAUAACAUCAAUCAAUCAAUCAAUCAUCAAUGAAAGGAACUGUGGUCUGUGAUGUCAAAGGAUGGCACCCAAAGAGUCCUGGAAUUCCUGAAGAUAGACAGCAUAUUGCAAGGAAUUAUCUGAAUUCUGCCUGGUAUUAUAGGUAAUGAUGAUGAAAAUAGCGCACCUCUUUGUCAGUGUGCGCAUGUGUGGGUGUAUGUAAUUUCAUCCCCAACAAAGCACUUCUAUCUUCAAAAAGAUGCUAUGGUGUUUUUAACUGGGUAUAAACAGUGAAAGGGAUGUAAAUUACUCCCCAUGGUCAUGAAAUCACCUGCGCAUCAUUACAAGAUACACCACGGUGAUGUUCCUGGGCAAUUCUGAACGCUCGUCCUGCUUAGCCUACUAUUUUCACUCUGAUUUAAGAGCCAAAUAAACUAUAUGCUUUCAAAUCUCCA